GACGAACGCUGGCGGCGUGCCUAAUACAUGCAAGUCGAACGCUCUCGACCUUCGGGUCACAUGAGAGAGUGGCGAACGGGUGCGUAACACGUGAGAAACCUGCCCCGAAGACGGGAAUAACUCGAGGAAACUCGAGCUAAUACCCGAUGCCUCCUUGGACCGCAUGGUCCGUUGAGGAAAUGCUCCGGUGCUUCGGGAGGGUCUCGCGGCCUAUCAGCUUGUUGGUGAGGUAACGGCUCACCAAGGCAUCGACGGGUAGCUGGUCUGAGAGGACGAUCAGCCACACUGGGACUGAGACACGGCCCAGACUCCUACGGGAGGCAGCAGUAGGGAAUCUUGCGCAAUGGGCGAAAGCCUGACGCAGCAACGCCGCGUGGGGGAUGACAGCCUUCGGGUUGUAAACCCCUUUCAGCAGGGACGAAAAUGACGGUACCUGCAGAAGAAGGUCCGGCCAACUACGUG
Molecule: ribosomal RNA, 462 nt
Filed under: uncultured bacterium
Lineage: Bacteria
Description: bacterial SSU rRNA
Rfam family: Bacterial small subunit ribosomal RNA
Source: RNAcentral